Molecule: ribosomal RNA, 155 nt
Filed under: Beauveria caledonica
Lineage: Eukaryota; Fungi; Ascomycota; Sordariomycetes; Hypocreales; Cordycipitaceae
Description: 5.8S ribosomal RNA
Rfam family: 5.8S ribosomal RNA
About the family: 5.8S ribosomal RNA (5.8S rRNA) is a component of the large subunit of the eukaryotic ribosome.
Source: RNAcentral
AAAACUUUCAACAACGGAUCUCUUGGCUCUGGCAUCGAUGAAGAGCGCAGCGAAACGCGAUAAGUAAUGUGAAUUGCAGAAUCCAGUGAAUCAUCGAAUCUUUGAGCGCACAUUGCGCCCGCCAGCAUUCUGGCGGGCAUGCCUGUUCGAGCGUC